AAUUCGAUUGAGUUUGAUCAUGGCUCAGGAUGAACGCUGGCGGCGUGCUUAACACAUGCAAGUCAAGGGGGCCCUAGGCGCAAGCCUGGGGCAACCGGCGAACGGGUGCGUAACACGUGAGCAACCUACCUAGGUGUGGGGGAUAGCCGGCCCAACGGCCGGGUAAUACCGCAUACGCUCUUCUUUAGGCAUUUAGAGAAGAGGAAACCUUCGGGGCACCAUGAGGGGCUCGCGGCCUAUCAGCUAGUUGGCGAGGUAACGGCUCACCAAGGCUACGACGGGUAGCUGGUCUGAGAGGAUGGCCAGCCACAUUGGGACUGAGAAACGGCCCAGACUCCUACGGGAGGCAGCAGUGGGGAAUCUUGCGCAAUGGCCUAACGGCUGACGCAGCGACGCCGCGUGAGGGAUGACGCUCUUCGGAGUGUAAACCUCUUUUGCCUGGAACGAACUAUCGGCAUUCGUCGAUUUGACGGUACCGGGUGAAUAAGCACCGGCUAACUCCGUGCCAGCAGCCGCGGUAAUACGGGGGGUGCGAGCGUUGUCCGGAAUCACUGGGCGUAAAGGGCGCGUAGGUGGCGUGAUAAGGGUGUGGUGAAAGCCCGGGGCUCAACCCCGGGUCGGCCAUGCCGACUGUCAGGCUAGAGUACUGUAGGGGCAGGCGGAAUUCCGGGUGUAGCGGUGGAAUGCGUAGAGAUCCGGAGGAAGACCGGUGGCGAAGGCGGCCUGCUGGGCAGUUACUGACACUGAGGCGCGACAGCGUGGGGAGCAAACAGGAUUAGA
RNAcentral lists this ribosomal RNA (780 nucleotides) under uncultured bacterium. Its description in RNAcentral is "bacterial SSU rRNA". It matches the Rfam family "Bacterial small subunit ribosomal RNA", at positions 1 to 782 of the family's 1533-position model. The record is from RNAcentral.